Molecule: ribosomal RNA, 497 nt
Filed under: uncultured bacterium
Lineage: Bacteria
Description: partial 16S ribosomal RNA
Rfam family: Bacterial small subunit ribosomal RNA
Source: RNAcentral
GAUGAACGCUGGCGGCGUGCCUAAUACAUGCAAGUCGAGCGAACAGAUGAGGAGCUUGUUCCUCUGACGUUAGCGGCGGACGGGUGAGUAACACGUGGAUACCCUACCUAUCAUACUGGUAUAUUUUCGGGAAUCCGGAUCUAAUACCGGAGAAUAUAUUGAUCCGCAUUGUUCAAUAGUGAAAUUCGGCUUUUCUGUCACUUCUCGAUGCAUCCGGGCCGCAUUAUCUAGUUGGUAAGUUAACGGCUUACCAAGGCAACGAUGCGUACCCGACCUGAGAGAGUGAUCGGCCACACUGGAGGUGUGACACGGACAAGAGUACUGCGGGAGGCAGCAGUAGGGAAUCUGCCGCAAUAGGCGAAAACCUGACGGAACAACGCCGCGUGAGUGAUAAAGGUCUUCGGAUCGUGAAACUCUGUUAUUAGGGAAGAACAAAUGUGUAAGUAGCUAUGCACGUAUUGACGGUACCUGGUAAGAAAGCAACGGCUAACUACGUG